Myotis lucifugus (little brown bat) is the source of this 549-nucleotide long non-coding RNA. RefSeq lists it as uncharacterized. NCBI's taxonomy places the organism in Eukaryota, Metazoa, Chordata, Mammalia, Chiroptera, Vespertilionidae. The transcript has 3 exons. The record is from RefSeq and is a predicted model, not a curated record.
ACCGGCCGCGCGGUGGUGCCCGUGCCGUGGAAAUUGAAUCGGGUCCCCGAGCUUUCCCGGGUCUGGUGUAUCUGGCGCUAUGAGGGCGUGCGGAGUGAAGAUGAGAGCUAUUUAUGCUUGGAAAUAUUCCAGACUGUGGAGUCCGCCUUCCCCCGAGGGGAACAGACAGGACUCGUGCAGCCUCACGCAGCGACGCAGGGAGCGUGGCUCCCGUUCUUCCGGAUCUAGCGCCUGCAGGGAUGCGAGAGCAUGAGCCUCUGAAGGCAAGUCCAGGGACCUCACCUGCCCCAUGCAAGUGGGAUGGCAGUGGAGCAUGGGGGUCUGCAAGGUUGCUCCAGAUCCUUGCUCUUGGGACCCAGCCGCCAUGCUGUGAGGAAGCCCAAGUCACCCUAUGGAGAAGCACAUGUGGAGAGAAGCAGCACACAGCACCAGCUCGAAAGCCAUGUGCGUGAGUCAUCUUGGAAGUGGGUUCUCCAGCCCCAGCUGAUGCUGUGUGGAGCGGAGACAAGCUGUCCCUGCUGAGCUCUGCCCAUUUUGCAGAUUGGUGGG